ACGGGGUGCAGCAGGCGCGAAACCUCCGCAAUGCGAGCAAUCGCGACGGGGGGACCCCAAGUGCCACUCUUAACGGGGUGGCUUUUCUUAAGUGUAAAAAGCUUUUGGAAUAAGGGCUGGGCAAGACCGGUGCCAGCCGCCGCGGUAACACCGGCAGCUCUAGUGGUAGCCAUUUUUAUUGGGCCUAAAGCGUUCGUAGCCGGUUUGAUAAGUCUCUGGUGAAAUCCUAUAGCUUAACUGUGGGACUUGCUGGAGAUACUAUUAGACUUGAGGUCGGGAGAGGUUAGCGGUACUCCCAGGGUAGGGGUGAAAUCCUGUAAUCCUGGGAGGACCACCUGUGGCGAAGGCGGCUAACUGGAACGAACCUGACGGUGAGGGACGAAAGCCAGGGGCGCGAACCGGAUUAGAUACCCGGGUAGUCCUGGCCGUAAACGAUGUGGACUUGGUGUUGGAAUGGCUUCGAGCUGCUCCAGUGCCGAAGGGAAGCUGUUAAGUCCACCGCCUGGGAAGUACGGUCGCAAGACUGAAACUUAA
RNAcentral lists this ribosomal RNA (534 nucleotides) under uncultured archaeon. Its description in RNAcentral is "bacterial SSU rRNA". It matches the Rfam family "Archaeal small subunit ribosomal RNA", at positions 325 to 859 of the family's 1478-position model. The record is from RNAcentral.